AGAGUUUGAUCCUGGCUCAGGAUGAACGCUAGCUACAGGCUUAACACAUGCAAGUCGAGGGGCAGCAUUUUAGUUUGCUUGCAAACUAAAGAUGGCGACCGGCGCACGGGUGAGUAACACGUAUCCAACCUGCCGAUAACUCGGGGAUAGCCUUUCGAAAGAAAGAUUAAUAUCCGAUAGUAUAUUAAAACCGCAUGGUUUUACUAUUAAAGAAUUUCGGUUAUCGAUGGGGAUGCGUUCCAUUAGUUUGUUGGCGGGGUAACGGCCCACCAAGACUACGAUGGAUAGGGGUUCUGAGAGGAAGGUCCCCCACAUUGGAACUGAGACACGGUCCAAACUCCUACGGGAGGCAGCAGUGAGGAAUAUUGGUCAAUGGACGAGAGUCUGAACCAGCCAAGUAGCGUGAAGGAUGACUGCCCUAUGGGUUGUAAACUUCUUUUAUAUGGGAAUAAAGUAUUCCACGUGUGGGAUUUUGUAUGUACCAUAUGAAUAAGGAUCGGCUAACUCCGUGCCAGCAGCCGCGGUAAUACGGAGGAUCCGAGCGUUAUCCGGAUUUAUUGGGUUUAAAGGGAGCGUAGGUGGAUUGUUAAGUCAGUUGUGAAAGUUUGCGGCUCAACCGUAAAAUUGCAGUUGAAACUGGCAGUCUUGAGUACAGUAGAGGUGGGCGGAAUUCGUGGUGUAGCGGUGAAAUGCUUAGAUAUCACGAAGAACUCCGAUCGCGAAGGCAGCUCACUAGACUGCAACUGACACUGAUGCUCGAAAGUGUGGGUAUCAAACAGGAUUAGAUACCCUGGUAGUCCACACAGUAAACGAUGAAUACUCGCUGUUUGCGAUAUACAGUAAGCGGCCAAGCGAAAGCAUUAAGUAUUCCACCUGGGGAGUACGCCGGCAACGGUGAAACUCAAAGGAAUUGACGGGGGCCCGCACAAGCGGAGGAACAUGUGGUUUAAUUCGAUGAUACGCGAGGAACCUUACCCGGGCUUAAAUUGCAUUUGAAUAAUCUGGAAACAGGUUAGCCGCAAGGCAAAUGUGAAGGUGCUGCAUGGUUGUCGUCAGCUCGUGCCGUGAGGUGUCGGCUUAAGUGCCAUAACGAGCGCAACCCUUAUCUUUAGUUACUAACAGGUCAUGCUGAGGACUCUAGAGAGACUGCCGUCGUAAGAUGUGAGGAAGGUGGGGAUGACGUCAAAUCAGCACGGCCCUUACGUCCGGGGCUACACACGUGUUACAAUGGGGGGUACAGAAGGCAGCUACCUGGCGACAGGAUGCUAAUCCCAAAAACCUCUCUCAGUUCGGAUCGAAGUCUGCAACCCGACUUCGUGAAGCUGGAUUCGCUAGUAAUCGCGCAUCAGCCAUGGCGCGGUGAAUACGUUCCCGGGCCUUGUACACACCGCCCGUCAAGCCAUGAAAGCCGGGGGUACCUGAAGUACGUAACCGCAAGGAGCGUCCUAGGGUAAAACUGGUAAUUGGGGCUAAGUCGUAACAAGGUA
RNAcentral lists this ribosomal RNA (1487 nucleotides) under metagenome. RNAcentral's name for it is "bacterial SSU rRNA". It matches the Rfam family "Bacterial small subunit ribosomal RNA". The record is from RNAcentral.